Long non-coding RNA from Octopus sinensis (East Asian common octopus), 89 nucleotides. RefSeq lists it as uncharacterized. The transcript has 3 exons. The record is from RefSeq and is a predicted model, not a curated record. Lineage: Eukaryota; Metazoa; Mollusca; Cephalopoda; Octopoda; Octopodidae.
CACAGAACCUUUCGUGGACGGAUCCGGCACCUUUCGUGGAAGCUUUCGCCCGCUUCUUAGAACCGACUGACCCGUGCUCGACCGCCGUU